UAAUACAUCGGAACGUGCCCGAUCGUGGGGGAACGGAGCGAAAGCUUUGCUAAUACCGCAUACGAUCUACGGAUGAAAGCAGGGGACCGCGGCCUUGCGCGGACGGAGCGGCCGAUGGCAGAUUAGGUAGUUGGUGGGAUAAAAGCUUCAAGCCGACGAUCUGUAGCUGGUCUGAGAGGACGACCAGCCACACUGGGACUGAGACAGCCCAGACUCCUACGGGAGGCAGCAGUGGGGAAUUUUGGACAAUGGGCGCAAGCCUGACAGCCAUGCCGCGUGCAGGAUGAAGGCCUUCGGGUUGUAAACUGCUUUUGUACGGAACAAAGACUCUUUCUAAUAAAGAGGGUCCAUGACGGUACCGUAAGAAUAAGCACCGGCUAUACGUGCCAGCAGCCGCGGUAAUACGUAGGGUGCAAGCGUUAAUCGGAAUUACUGGGCAAAGCGUGCGCAGGCGGUGAUGUAAGACAGAUGUGAAAUCCCCGGGCUCAACCUGGGAUGCAUUUGUGACUGCAUCGCUGGAGUACGGCAGAGGGGGAUGGAAUUCCGCGUGUAGCUGAAAUGCGUAGAUAUGCGGAGGAACACCGAUGGCGAAGGCAAUCCCCUGGGCCUGUAGACGCUCAUGCACGAAAGCGUGGGGAGCAAACAGGAUUAGAUACCCUGGUAGUCCACGCUAAACGAUGUCAACUGGUUGUUGGGUCUUCACUGACUCAGUAACGAAGCUAACGCGU
RNAcentral lists this ribosomal RNA (728 nucleotides) under uncultured bacterium. RNAcentral describes it as "bacterial SSU rRNA". It matches the Rfam family "Bacterial small subunit ribosomal RNA", at positions 111 to 860 of the family's 1533-position model. The record is from RNAcentral.